GACGCAACCACAAUUUUUGCUUCAAUAACAACGGCGCAAAUUGCGUCUUUUCUUACAUUUUUGGGACCACGGUCGAUAAUAUCGCUAUGCCUGAGCAAAGACAGGUUUCUGCCGCCGACGGCAACGAGAAUUUGUUGCAAGAGAAAAUCGAUAAUCUUAAGAAGAACUGAAGAAUUAAUCGAAUUUAUGGCAGUAGUGCCUGCGGAGAAAAUUAUGUGUUUGCCAUUUUUGAACUCUCUUUUUUUAGUUGUUGGGGAAAAAGGCCUUAAAGGCCGCCACUAGCUGAUCUGAAACUCAAGUUCCAAAGUGCCGAGGCGUUCGAGGACACUUGACCGGUCGUACAGGUCAAUCAAGAAUUAUUAGGGUCGCCAUACUUCAAGGACAUGAAGAAGUUUUCGCCCGGCAAGAACUCCGACCAAGUGAAAAUGGAGCAGGAGGGCUUUCUGGACUUCGCCAAUCUCGAGGCUCUUAAGAAAUGGCAGCACUGGGAGAUGAAGCUGUUGGAGGUGACCUUGCGCAAAGUGGCCCUGGGUGCCCUGCGGAGGCCUUUGGUGGCCAAAAGGUGGACCAGCAGAAAGUGGAGAGGAAAGCAAACUUGUCGUCGGCCCUCACCGCCGAUGUGCGCAUUGCCGAGAUCAACGAGCAGAUCCAGCAAAUGAGUGGCGAAGCCCUUUUUGACAAGCUCAGCGACCAAAAGGCUGAGCACGACUGGUGCCGCAUUUCGGUCACCGAAUUCAAAGGUCAGCGUUCGCCACUCGAGCUGCAAGCCAUGUGGAAGCAGUGCUUGGUCCUCACCCUGGAGAGGACGGCCUGGACCAAACAUGAAAAUGAUCUCUUGAGGAUAUUUUAUAAAUGACAAAUCUCUGCAGUAUUGUUUGAAAUGUAGAGAAACUGCUUCACCUACGCCAAUUAAUGGCAUAAAUAGAAAUGUAAAAUCGAAGAAUUGUGACCUCAAUUCCACUCUCAGUUUAAGUCUCUGGCUGUGAUGCUGCUUUACUCAUAGAUUUUUCCCACGAUGGAAGGUAUUAAUUUAAUUACGUGAAUAUUUUUUAUUUAGUUUGCUGCGAGCAAGUACAGUUUUCAAAACUGGGCGGCCGUCAGUGCCGAAAUGAGUGGCAAACGCUCAUCCAUGUACCAGUGCUUCCUGCACUACCAAAUUAAGCAUUCUGAACAAGUUCAGGGAGGUUUGGAGUGGCGCCGAUGACAAGAAACUCGAAUCCACUGUCAAGAAUCUGCAGAAAGGAAAAUUCAUUACUCCGGAAAAGAAGGUAUUUUAUUAUUACUUCUUAAACAUCUGAAGUGAAUGAUCAAGAAUUAGAAGCUGCAAAGGUAUAUCACAUAUAGGUAUACAUUGACAAGCAAAAUGUCGUCAAACAAGAACGAGAGGAAUUGAAACCGGCGCAAGAAAGGAAGAAAAUGCAGAGGCCGAGAUCGAUUCGCCCAUUUUUCCGGAUCUCCACCAUUGUCUUGUCCUCAUUCUCAGAGAACUUCAAGAAGAAAGGGUUUUGCGCAUUCAUUAGAUCAGAGGGAAAUCAGUAGAAUGAUGAUGAAAAGCGACAAGCAGGAGCAAAUGCUCGAGGGUGAGCAAAGAUCUCUCGUCCGGACUGCUAGUACAACUGGACUUUCAUUCUCAAAGUGUCCGAAAGAAGGACGCCGAGUUGGAAACUUCUGUCCAGAAGGCACUCAGACUGGAGGUCCAGUUGUCUCUUGCCAAGCAGGAAAUUGGUGUUCUCCGAGCAGAGUCCCACAAAUUAGAGGUUCAAAUUCUGAAGUUGACACAAAAAGCAGCGAGUCUUGAGACAAGGAUGAUUCAGUUUGCCAAUUUCAACGAAUCCUGCGGAGGCUUUCAAGACAAAGUUAAAUUUUAUCUUUCAUCGUCUGAACAGGAAUUGUCUUCGCUGAGGAAAGAAGUUUGCCGAGUUCAAGAUUAUGUUGAAAAGUGUUGUAAGCAAGCUGUGGGUUUUGAUACCUUCUGGUGGAAAAAGAAUACCUUUAGUUGCUUCAGUUUUUUGUGUAGAUGCUAAUAUAAAUGUAAAGAAGAAUUUAAAGAAAUAAGUGGCCACACAAAUGCGAACUUCAUUUAAAUGUACGUUCUGCUCUUGUGAAAUAAGAGAAAAAAUAUCAAGAUUUAAUACAAAGCCAGGAAUGUGGUCAAGUUUGCUUCUGAUGCCCAGAAGGCUUAAAGGGUCGGUCGGAAGGGAAAAAAGAAAAACGCCCUGCACUUUGAGCUGCACCAGGUCUUUUGCAAGCAGCGGAUGGUCAAGGCCGCGGCCACUGACCCCGACUACUACAGCAUCCUCAACGUGUACCGCCAGCUGCGGAUGCUGCGUUUCAAAGUGGGCUGGGACUGUGGCAAGACGAGUGUCACUCAAUUGAUUCCUCAGAACGACUCUUCUGGAAGAGCGCAACAUUUUGCCCAUGAGCCUGGAGGAUAAGAGGGAGGUGCCAACCUACACCUCAAGGGAGUUUUCACCAGGGCUGACUUGACCUGGAACCCACCUGAUUUGGAUUACAAUAUGAAGGUCUCAAUUCAUUUUACCAAAUUUUUAUAUAUUUUUCUUUAGUUGACGAAGACGCCCGUCCUGAGCAGAAUGGCAAAGGCUCUCGUGAAUUGCCAAUCCUGAAGAAGCCGUGUCCCUUUUCAUGCAGAGGUUUUUCUCGCUGCUGCUCUGGCCAAGCUACAUGUCUUGCUUUGCUCCUUCGCUGGACUACAAAGAGGACUUGUUUGAGGGUGAAAGGAUGGCUUUUGUGCUAGUUCCAAUGAAGACGAGGACGAAGUGGACAACUUGUUCCUUGACUUUGACACUGACGAGGAGGGCAAAAAGAAGAAAUCCUGCAAUGAAAUGGAAAGUGAGGAGGAGAGGAAGUGGAUGCUGAGGAAGCAGUGGCUGCAGUACAGGGAAGAGAAACUGAGUCCGCCAGUGCUGGUGGAAAAAUAGGUGCCCAAGAAGAGGGUAAGAAAGAAGAUGGAAGCGGACAAUGCUUGCAGAGCCUCAUCAGGAACAACAUUUCCUUCGCUCCAUAGAAUUGAAUGGAUUUUUAGGAUUUCUCUUUGCUUCAGAUUAUAAUCUUAAUGUUAGUAUUUUUACUAGGACAAUACAAUUAAAAUUUAACAUCUAAAACAAAUGUAUUAAACACCUGAAUGUAUUUAGAAUAUAAGAACUCCUUGACACCUACGAUUUCAUUAUGAGAAGCUUUUUUCACAACAAUUAUUUGAUGCAGGAAAAAUGUAAUUUAAUUACAUAUUUAGCAAUGUCCUCAUUUUUCUGUAAAUAAAUUUGA
This is a long non-coding RNA of Neocloeon triangulifer, 3282 nucleotides long. RefSeq lists it as uncharacterized. The transcript is spliced from 9 exons. The record is from RefSeq and is a predicted model, not a curated record. Lineage: Eukaryota; Metazoa; Arthropoda; Insecta; Ephemeroptera; Baetidae.